UACAGAGGUCCCAAGCGUUGUUCGGAUUCAUUGGGCGUAAAGGGUGCGUAGGCGGCGCGGUAAGUCGGGUGUGAAAUCUCGGAGCUUAACUCCGAAACUGCAUUCGAUACUGCCGUGCUGGAGGACUGGAGAGGAGACUGGAAUUUACGGUGUAGCGGUGAAAUGCGUAGAUAUCGUAAGGAAGACCAGUGGCGAAGGCGGGUCUCUGGACAGUUCCUGACGCUGAGGCACGAAGGUCAGGGGAGCAAACGGG
This 253-nucleotide ribosomal RNA is filed under the name uncultured bacterium. Its description in RNAcentral is "partial 16S ribosomal RNA". It matches the Rfam family "Bacterial small subunit ribosomal RNA", at positions 524 to 776 of the family's 1533-position model. The record is from RNAcentral.